GGGGGCGAAUUGGAUUCGACCGGACGACUUGAGGCGUCGGUGGCGUGCCCAGGUUCCAAGGAGGCCUGGCUAAACACCUUGGGCCUAUUUUACGUGCCAAUAACGGCAUGCGCAUGGCCGCCUGAGUAAGGCUGCCCGUCCCCCGGCCGCUCGCCCGCGGCAGCCGGAGGGACGCAACUAGCGGGCUUACCGGCGGGUGUGGGACGGUUACCCAGCCGGGAGAACCAGGCGUCCUGGCCGAAUCGGAUCGCGUCGCGGGCGAGCCGGUGAGGCGAGAUUAAACCCCGCGACUACGCACGUAGAAGCCGCCGUUGAAACGUCACGGGACGCGGGUUCGAUUCCCGCCGCCUCCAUGC
RNAcentral lists this transfer-messenger RNA (356 nucleotides) under Planctomycetota bacterium. It matches the Rfam family "transfer-messenger RNA". Rfam says of the family: Bacterial tmRNA, also known as 10Sa RNA or SsrA, is named for its dual tRNA and mRNA-like properties. Its role is to liberate the mRNA from a stalled ribosome. Lineage: Bacteria; Pseudomonadati; Planctomycetota. The record is from RNAcentral.